AGCGAACGCUGGCGGCAGGCUUAACACAUGCAAGUCGAACGGACCCUUCGGGGUUAGUGGCGGACGGGUGAGUAACACGUGGGAACGUGCCUUUAGGUUCGGAACAACACAGGGAAACUUGUGCUAAUACCGGAUGUGCCCUUCGGGGGAAGAUUUAUCGCCUUUAGAGCGGCCCGAGUCUGAUUAGCUAGUUGGUGGGGUAAAGGCCUACCAAGGCGACGAUCAGUAGCUGGUCUGAGAGGAUGGCUAGCCACAUUGGGACUGAGACACGGGCCAAACUCAUACGGGAGGCAGCAGUGGGGAAUCUUGCGCAAUGGGCGAAAGCCUGACGCAGCCAUGCCGCGUGAAUGAUGAAGGUCUUAGGAUUGUAAAAUUCUUUCACCGGGGACGAUAAUGACGGUACCCGGAGAAGAAGCCCCGGCUAACUUCGUGCCAGCAGCCGCCGUAA
This 448-nucleotide ribosomal RNA is filed under the name uncultured bacterium. RNAcentral's name for it is "partial 16S ribosomal RNA". It matches the Rfam family "Bacterial small subunit ribosomal RNA", at positions 29 to 523 of the family's 1533-position model. The record is from RNAcentral.